UGAGGAAUAUUGGACAAUGGGCGCAAGCCUGAUCCAGCAAUGCCGCGUGCAGGAUGAAGGCCUUCGGGUUGUAAACUGCUUUUGUACGGAGCGAAAAGGUCUGCCCUAAUACGGUGGGCUCAUGACGGUACCGUAAGAAUAAGCACCGGCUAACUACGUGCCAGCAGCCGCGGUAAUACGUAGGGUGCGAGCGUUAAUCGGAAUUACUGGGCGUAAAGCGUGCGCAGGCGGUUAUAUAAGACAGAUGUGAAAUCCCCGGGCUCAACCUGGGAACCGCCUUUGUGACUGCAUAGCUAGAGUACGGUAGAGGGGGAUGGAAUUCCGCGUGUAGCAGUGAAAUGCGUAGAUAUGCGGAGGAACACCGAUGGCGAAGGCAAUCCCCUGGACCUGUACUGACGCUCAUGCACGAAAGCGUGGGGAGCAAACA
This 427-nucleotide ribosomal RNA is filed under the name uncultured bacterium. Its description in RNAcentral is "bacterial SSU rRNA". It matches the Rfam family "Bacterial small subunit ribosomal RNA", at positions 355 to 774 of the family's 1533-position model. The record is from RNAcentral.